RNAcentral lists this ribosomal RNA (440 nucleotides) under uncultured bacterium. Its description in RNAcentral is "partial 16S ribosomal RNA". It matches the Rfam family "Bacterial small subunit ribosomal RNA", at positions 338 to 795 of the family's 1533-position model. The record is from RNAcentral.
CCUACGUGAGGCAGCAGUAGGGAAUAUUGCUCAAUGGGGGAAACUCUGAAGCAGCAACGCCGCGUGGAGGAUGAAGGUUUUCGGAUUGUAAACUCCUUUUGUUAGAGAAGAUAAUGACGGUAUCUAACGAAUAAGCACCGGCUAACUCCGUGCCAGCAGCCGCGGUAAUACGGAGGGGUCAAGCGUUACUCGGAAUCACUGGGCGUAAUGGGCGCGUAGGCGGGAUAGCAAGUCAGAUGUGAAAUCCUAUGGCUUAACCAUUGAACUGCAUUUGAUACUGUUAUUCUAGAGUAUGGGAGAGGAAGGUGGAAUUCUUGGUGUAGGGGUAAAAUCCGUAGAGAUCAAGAGGAAUACUCAUUGCGAAGGCGACCUGCUAGAACAUAACUGACGCUGAUGCGCGAAAGCGUGGGGAGCAAACAGGAUUAGAUACCCCAGUAGUC